AGUGAACGCUGGCGGUAGGCCUAACACAUGCAAGUCGAACGGCAGCACAGUAAGAGCUUGCUCUUACGGGUGGCGAGUGGCGGACGGGUGAGGAAUACAUCGGAAUCUACUUUUUCGUGGGGGAUAACGUAGGGAAACUUACGCUAAUACCGCAUACGACCUACGGGUGAAAGCAGGGGAUCUUCGGACCUUGCGCGAUUGAAUGAGCCGAUGUCGGAUUAGCUAGUUGGCGGGGUAAAGGCCCACCAAGGCGACGAUCCGUAGCUGGUCUGAGAGGAUGAUCAGCCACACUGGAACUGAGACACGGUCCAGAGUCCUACGGGAGGAAGCAGUGGGGAAUAUUGGACAAUGGGCGCAAGCCUGAUCCAGCCAUACCGCGUGGGUGAAGAAGGCCUUCGGGUUGUAAAGCCCUUUUGUUGGGAAAGAAAAGCAGCAGGUUAAUACCCCGCUGUUCUGACGGUACCCAAAGAAUAAGCACCGGCUAACUUCGUG
This 492-nucleotide ribosomal RNA is filed under the name uncultured bacterium. Its description in RNAcentral is "partial 16S ribosomal RNA". It matches the Rfam family "Bacterial small subunit ribosomal RNA", at positions 29 to 507 of the family's 1533-position model. The record is from RNAcentral.